Molecule: microRNA precursor, 59 nt
Filed under: Parasteatoda tepidariorum (common house spider)
Lineage: Eukaryota; Metazoa; Arthropoda; Arachnida; Araneae; Theridiidae
Description: microRNA pte-mir-2e precursor
Gene: pte-mir-2e
Rfam family: mir-2 microRNA precursor family
About the family: The miRNAs are transcribed as ~70nt precursors (modelled here) and subsequently processed by the Dicer enzyme to give a ~22nt product.
Source: miRBase by way of RNAcentral
ACGUCGAAGUGGCUGUGAAAUGUAUUCACUUUACCAUAUCACAGCUAUCUUUGACGUGU